AGUGAACGCUGGCGGUAGGCCUAACACAUGCAAGUCGAACGGCAGCACAGUAAGAGCUUGCUCUUACGGGUGGCGAGUGGCGGACGGGUGAGGAAUACAUCGGAAUCUACUUUUUCGUGGGGGAUAACGUAGGGAAACUUACGCUAAUACCGCAUACGACCUACGGGUGAAAGCAGUGGAUCUUCGGACCUUGCGCGAUUGAAUGAGCCGAUGUCGGAUUAGCUAGUGGGCGGGGUAAAGGCCCACCAAGGCGACGAUCCGUAGCUGGUCUGAGAGGAUGAUCAGCCACACUGGAACUGAGACACGGUCCAGACUCCUACGGGAGGCAGCAGUGGGGAAUAUUGGGCAAUGGGCGCAAGCCUGAUCCAGCCAUACCGCGUGGGUGAAGAAGGCCUUCGGGUUGUAAAGCCCUUUUGUUGGGAAAGAAAAGCAGCAGGUUAAUACCCCGCUGUUCUGACGGUACCCAAAGAAUAAGCACCGGCUAACUUCGUG
Molecule: ribosomal RNA, 492 nt
Filed under: uncultured bacterium
Lineage: Bacteria
Description: partial 16S ribosomal RNA
Rfam family: Bacterial small subunit ribosomal RNA
Source: RNAcentral